Molecule: ribosomal RNA, 484 nt
Filed under: uncultured bacterium
Lineage: Bacteria
Description: partial 16S ribosomal RNA
Rfam family: Bacterial small subunit ribosomal RNA
Source: RNAcentral
AUUGAACGCUGGCGGCAUGCUUUACACAUGCAAGUCGAACGGCAGCGCGGGCUUCGGCCUGGCGGCGAGUGGCGAACGGGUGAGUAAUGCAUCGGAACGUGCCCAGUAGUGGUGGAUAGCCCGGCGAAAGCCGGAUUAAUACCGCAUACGACCUGAGGGUGAAAGCGGGGGACCGAAAGGCCUCGCGCUAUUGGAGCGGCCGAUGUCGGAUUAGCUAGUUGGUGGGGUAAAGGCUUACCAAGGCGACGAUCCGUAGCUGGUCUGAGAGGACGAACAGCCACACUGGGACUGAGACACGGCCCAGACUCCGACGGGAGGCAGCAGUGGGGAAUGUUGGACAAUGGGGGCAACCCUGAUCCAGCCAUGCCGCGUGCGGGAAGAAGGCCUUCGGGUUGUAAACCGCUUUUGUUCGGGAAGAAAUCCUCUGGGCUAAUACCCCGGGGGGAUGACGGUACCGGAAGAAUAAGCACCGGCUAACUACGUG